GGGGAUGACAGGCCUCGACGGGGAAUGCACUUUUACAAACGGUGAGAGACGGAUCUAUCCGGUGUCCCGCUCAGCGGGAUUGAAAAUAGUAAAAAACAACUGCUAAAUUCUCAAUGAAAGAAGCAAUGUCACCGAUCGCUGACGCUGUUAAGGAUAUGUUUGCUGCAAAGUACGCAUCAUCCUAUAACUUUGCAACUGUCUAAGUUGCAAUAGUCUUGCAGGAAGUGCUCUUUUCUCACAUUUUUCUCGGUUCAAUGUGAGAAAGGUUAACCAAUCGAGAUAGAGCAAACCUGGAUUUUCAGUUGCCGGGGGCGUUCGAAUAAAUUUCAACUGACAGUCAGACAACGUCUAUGUGUUUUGCGUACCUGACUGGAGUAAAGACACUUUAUCUCUCACUAAACGUUUGUAUACGGGUGUUUCUUCGGACCCCGGUUCAAUUCCGGGCAUCUCCACUC
This 455-nucleotide transfer-messenger RNA is filed under the name Candidatus Roizmanbacteria bacterium CG_4_10_14_0_8_um_filter_39_9. It matches the Rfam family "transfer-messenger RNA". Rfam says of the family: Bacterial tmRNA, also known as 10Sa RNA or SsrA, is named for its dual tRNA and mRNA-like properties. Lineage: Bacteria; Candidatus Roizmaniibacteriota. The record is from RNAcentral.